This 41726-nucleotide long non-coding RNA is filed under the name Citrus maxima (pomelo). Its description in RNAcentral is "long non-coding RNA (CMAX_LNC003747)". Lineage: Eukaryota; Viridiplantae; Streptophyta; Magnoliopsida; Sapindales; Rutaceae. The record is from RNAcentral.
ACAUAAAACUAUUAAAUCAGUAAACUAAAUCACUGAUUUAAGGAAAGAAUAAUUUCUAGGUAGAUUUUCCUAAAAUACAUAGAUUUGCACCUAAAUAGCUAUGUUACAGCUAAUGACUAAUUUACAGCACAUAUUUUUUCUAAUUUUCUAACACUCCCCCUCGAGCUGGUUUGAAGAUAUCCUCCAUAGCCAGCUUGCCAACUAGAAAAUUGAACUGUUUUGUGUGUAGUCCUUUGGUAAAGACAUCAGCCACUUGUUCUCCAGUAGGAAUGUGCUCCAUAUGAACCAAUCCAUUAUCUAUCUUCUCCUUGAUGAAAUGCUUGUCAAUCUCCACAUGUUUUGUGCGGUCAUGAAGGACUGGAUUGUGUGCUAUUGAGAUUGCUGCCUUGUUGUCACAGUACAACUACAUAGGAGAUGAUUUUGUCGCUUUUAACUCUUCCAACAGCCUCCUAAUCCACAUGAUCUCACAAAUGCCAUGGGUUACAGCUCUAAAUUCAGCCUCAGCACUGCUCCUAGCUACCACAUUCUGUUUCUUGCUUCUCCAAGUAACCAAAUUACCACCUACAAAUGAACAGUAUCCAGAAGUGGAUCUUCGGUCUACUUUGCAGGUAAAUUUACUGCAAAGGCUCUUACAAGCCCUCAAAGAUGAUAUUCUACAUACCAUGGUAACCUGACUAACAAAAAGAAACACAGUGAAUAUUAAAGGGCAUUCUGACAAUGCAAAUUUGUGCAAAUUAACAACUGCGGUUACCUGCAUAAUAGUGUCAAUACCGAGUUCCUUCCUCCAUGGAAGCAUAUGAUCAGCCCACAUGUGCUUUGCUCUGUAGCUUUUGAGUACCUGAAAUUGUUAUUACAACCAGCGGUGAAAAUUGGGUGAAAAAAUGGUAAUAUUAGCAUAAUUGAAUUUGCUUAUAGAGGAUAAACCGAUCAAAGAAAACGACAAGAUAGAAAUGAUUAUCUUAGUACCUUAAUAUCAUGCAAUAAAAAUCAUCAUGCCUUCCAGGCAGCUAUCCAUCCUCAAUUGAAACAGAGCAGACCUGGCCAUCACUUUCUUCUUCAAAGUCCAGCAACUGAACGUUGCACACAACACCACAGUGGAAGUAGUUCCAUCACCAGCCUAAUCCUUGAUUACCCCAAUGUUCUCCAUAGGGUCUUCAAAGUCAACCUAAAAAUAAAAUGAAAAUGCAAUGCAUUAUUAUUAGGGAUCUAGUGCUUGAGCUUGCUUUGACAUCAUGGUAUUAGCAAAUUCUGAUAUAGCCAAAAUGGUGAAUAAGAUGAUGUACUUGAUAAGAAAAACCUGAUUUAACAAAUAAUUAAGAAGCCGGUAACAAUCACAUAAUCUCAUCAUGUGGGGAAUGCCUUGGCAACAGAAGAUGGUGCUUUCAUUCAAGCAAUAGCAACUUUCCAAUUUCAUAAGGUAGUUUAAUGGCCCUUUUAAGAACAUCUGUACCAGCCUAACAAUUAUUCAUGGAAAUUAAAAUUCAGAAUCAUAUUAGAUUGAGAGAUGAAAUAUAAUAAGCGAUUUGGCCACCAUAUAUGCAUUUAUCACCUUCAAUUUGCUCAUCUUUGUCUGGAGUAUUGCUUCUGCAUUAACUUAAUUAGCUUGCAAGCCACCUACAAAUGGUUUUAAAUAAUGUGUGAGAGUGUGAAUUCGAACGAAUUAAUCAAAUAUGCUGACAGGAGAAACAAAAGUAAAUAACCACAAGAAGUAGAAAUAUACUUUUGUUAUAUUCAGAGCAUCUUCUUGCGUCAAGUUCUUUUCCUUUAGCUCUGUUUCUGUUUGUGCUCAAACGGAAUGGCUCAAGGGUCAAGAUAAUUUUAUGACCAUCAAUCUUUUUGCAGCCACAUGCAGACUUGAAAAACUGGUCGUGGCACUAAGGAACUUGAAAAUUAGAAAAGAUUCAGAAUGAGUGACUAAAUAUUAUAAUCGAAACUAAUUAAACAUACACGCCUAGAAAAUCUGAAACUGAACUUCUCAAAUGUAUAUGCCUCUUCGCAGCAAUUGCUUGUGGUGGAAACUUUACCGCAAGGACUUUCUCAAACCCUUGAAGAUCACACUCUACCUGAUAACAAAGAAACAUAGUCAAUAUACGAAGAUGAUUUUACUAACAAGUGAGUGCUUACACAUAUUGGAAGGAUAAUGAUUACUCAUAACCCAAAUCCCCAACACUCCCUAAUAUCUCACUCAAGUGAGUACGAGCUCCCAGAAUUCACUACUGUGAAACUCUUACAACAAAAUUCCCUUUAAAGAUUCUCUACUCAAAUUUGAUGAUGAUGUCCCUCGAAAGGAGGCAAAAAAUCUAACACUGAUCAAAUUGGCUUGUGAACAAUUAAUCUUCCUGGCGAUCAUGCAUACCAGGUGUGGUGAGCAAUCUUCAUUCUGACAUUUGCCUUAAUAAGCGGCUUAGUAUCCUUAACCUGAUAACUUACACAAACAAAAACAACUUGAUUAAAGUAUAAUAUUUAGAGGCAGAACAGUAAAGAAGAUGAUAUAUAUUGGUACUAAAAUUUGACCUGUGUUAUCCUGACGUCAAGAAUCACAGCAUCUCAUGUGGGCAGAAUAUUCGCAGUACAAGAUGCUUGCAAAAUUGAAGCAGCAUCUUAUCACCUGUAAUUUAAUUAAGACAAUAACUUUCCCCAACCAUUUCAAUGCAUUAUUGGCAACUAAAUUCAGAGGGUGCUAAUUAAAUAGCCUUUGAACAAUAUAUUCUAAUUCUUCUCCAAUCUAACAAUUAUUUGGAAAAUCUGAAUGACAAUCAUGCAUCGACGACAUCAAAAUUUGGCUACAAAGCAGCCUGGAAAAGGCUUUACUCUCUGAAUGAGAGCAUGAAUUCGAAACAAAUAUCAUGAAUGAAGAAACAAAGGCAUAAUACCACAAAAAGUAAAACUUUUCCCAGGGCUAUCUGUUUCUGUUUGAACUAAAACCAAUGGAAACCGAUGGAAAUGAAUUUCUAGGAAUUAGACAUAUCAGCCAAAACAGGUACUCUGUACAAGCAAAGUAAAAUAGGGUUACAAAAAAUUUUAAGAUUGAUAUGAUAAUUAAAAUUUCAGUCACCAUAUAAUUAAUAGAAAACUUUGGACACAAUGAUUUAUUGCAUAUUAAGAUUGCUAUAUAAAAUAUAAUAUUAGCAUUAGGAGACCGCACCGAAGCAUACCGAAUUGAAUGUGCCUUUUCACAGCCAUUUUACAAGCUUUGAAGCUUCACCACAAAUGCUUUUUCCAACCCGUGAACAUGGUGCACCCGAGAGAUGCAAGCUAUGAAAUUGUUACUACAGCAAGCGUUGGAACAUUUGUUAAAAAAGGAAGUUUAUGAAAAUACGCCUUUGGAUACCAGUCUUCAGGAAUCAAUUCAUCCGUAAUAACAAUUUUCAAGAAUUAUCAACUGCUUUAAGCUCAUCGACAUCACAAAGAUCUCAACUAAAAUAGAGCAGAUCCGGCCAUCACUAUCCCUUCUACUGCUCUUUUCCUUUAGAGAAUGAUUGAAUUACAGAAUGCGUGUAAGGCAUUCUUAUUCAAGGUCCAAUGAUCAAACCUUGCACUAUAACAACAGAGGUAGUAGUUUCUUCGCCAGCCUAAUCCUUGGUCUCAGGAAUGUCCUCAACAGAGUACUCGAAAUCAACCUAAAAAUUAAGAAUGAGUUGGAAAACUGUUUAUGGCCCUAAAGAACUUGAAAAUAAGAAAAGAUUAAGAAUGAGUGACUAAACAUUUAAUCGCAACUAAACAUACAAACCUUGAAAAUCUAACUUUGAAGUACUCUUGAAUGAAUGAGCAGUUGCACGAGCUGGUGACAACUAAGGUUACUGUGAAGUCUCUUACAAAUCCUUAAAGAUGAUACUUUACAUACCACGAUAACCUGAUAACACAUAGGAACACAAUAAACAUUAAAGUGUAUUCUGACAAUGCAAAUUUGUGGAAAUCAUCAGCUGUGGUUACCUGGACAAUAUUGCCAACACCAAACUCCUUCCUCAAUUGAAACAUAUGAUCAGCCCACAAAUGCUUUGCUUUGUAGCUUUUGAGAGCCUGAAAUUGUUAUCACAACCAACAAUGAAAAUUGGGUGAAAAAAUUGAUAAUAUUAGCUUAAUUCCAUAUGUUUAUAUAGGAUAAACCGAUCAAAGAAUGAAAAAAGAUAGAAACAGAGCAGACCCAGCCAUCACUUUCUUCUUCAAAGUCGCACCAUAACCACAGUGGUAGUCGUUCCACUGCCAGCCUAAUCCUUGGUCACCCCAAUGUUCUCCAUGAAGUAUUCAAAGUCAACCUAAAAAUAAAUAAAAAUGCAAUGCAGGUGGAAAUGAAAAUUCUAUAAAUUAAAUAAAAUAAAAAUGCAAUGCUUGAGCUUGAGCUUGCUUUAGCAUCAUCGUAAUAGUAAAUUUUGAUAUAUCUUUACUUCUCUGUUCUUGUUUAUUCACAACAAGAUAUCAAUAGAAGAAGAUGGAAAUGAAAUUCUAUAAAAUAAAGCAAGUGAAUUACCAACAGAACAUUUUAGCAAUCCUUUGGCUAAACUUUUCAUUUUCUUAGCAUACUCUCCUGCCUGGUGAACAUAAUUAAACAAGUAUGAAAUAAAACAAAGUGGGCUAAUGUAGUAAAAACAAUAACACAAUUACUUUAAAGAAUUAAUGUCACGUAUAUUAUAUAUAAAAAAAUACGAUUAUCAUUAUAUAAGAUAAAAUUGAUAAUUUAGUUUUCAACAUUACUGCAAACGUAUCACAGAGAUUUUGUUACACAUAACAAAUUUUCGUACAUAUGAAAAUAAAUUACAUUGCAUGAAAUUUUACAAAAGAGCACAUAUUUUUUAAAAGUAAAUAAAUAUAGAAAUUUCAACAGACUACACUUGUAUUUUUUUUUAAUUAUUUAAUCUUUAGAAAACAAGUUUAACAGAUUUGAUAACUAGGAAGUUUUACGUAUUUAUACCAUGAUUGAUUCUAUAUAGAAUUUUAAUUCAAAAUAUAAUUAUUUUUAUUAAUUUCAUUGCAAGCAACAACGAAGUAAAUUAGAGGAGGAGGAGAAAUUACCGGCGAGUGAUAAAUUACCGCGACCACUUGAUGUGGGGAAUGCGAGAUAUCUUAUGCCAGUCUUCUCCUUUCCCCUCUCUAUAACGGUUUUCCAGAAGAGGACAUCUGUCAAUAGUCAAUUCCUGCAGCGUCGUCGUCCGAAGAAGGUAAUCCGGCAGCACCUUUAAUUUGGGGCAAUACUCAAUUACCAAGGAAGAAAGACGUGGUAUGUCUGUUGUCCUGUGAUCUUCUAGAAUGGGCAGUUCUUCCAUAUUUGCACAAAAAGAAAUCCUCAGUUUCUGCAGUGCCGUCGUUCGAAGAAGGUAAUCCGGCAGCGCCUUCAAUUUGUUGCAAGAACGAACUUCCAAGGAAGAAAGACGGGGCAUGAUAGAGAUGUUUUCCUUCCUCGUAAUCCUGUAAUUCCACUCUUCCAAUUCUUCCAUGUCCCAAAUUAUGAGUGAUUUCAAUUUGGGGAAGGCAGUAACUGAUGAUGAUGAUGAAGAUGAAGACGGGCCAUCCUCACUGCUUUCUUCUAUUCCCAAAAACUCAUUACCCACUCUUUUUACACUUUUCAAGUACCAUAGUUCGAGUUUUUCCAGAGGCAAUUUUCCCAAAGGAGGCAAAUGCUCACACUUAAGGCACGAGCGAAGAUAUAAAUUCCUUAGAUUGGUCAGUGAAGUCAACCAUUUGGGAAAAAUGUUGCGUCCAUAUAAUAUAAUCCCUAAUUUCUCUACACUCAAAGGCGGUUGUAAGGCUUUAAGAAGUUGUUCAUCUUUCUCUUUCUUCCUCCUCCUUUCUUCAUCUUCCCCAUCUACGACUCUACCAAACUCAAGACGCAAACGAAGGAGGUUUUGCUGAUUGUAAAGUUGUAAUCUCUCGACCUCAUCUAAACGGGACACAUUACCCAGCCCUUCAAUUCCACAUUCUCGAAGGAGUUGAAGAUUUUUCAGAGAUUCAAGCCUACAAGUAUUGCUACCAUCAACACCUCCACCCACCACAAACUUGUCUAAUGUUCGAAGACUGGUUAAUUUGGAAAUCCCUACUGGCAUGUAUUUCAACGAAUAAGUUUCAGCAUUCAGUAAACUCCUCAUGUUCUUUAACUUCCCAAUCCCCGCUGGCAAUUCUUUAAGAUUUCGGCACCGCCUAAUAUCUAGCUUUUGUAAAUUAUAUAAUUCACACAAAGUCUUAGGUAGUCUCUCUAUGCCUAAUUCAGACAAAUUAAGAUAUCUUAAAUGUAUCAAUUUUCCGACAUUUUUUGGAAUUUCUCUAAUCAAACUUGAGUGAAGACGAACAGGCGAGGAUGAUAGCCUUAUAACUAAUGAUUCCCUUAUAACUAAUGCCCUCAAACAUGCCAAUUUACUAAAUAACUUUCGAGUUUCUCUAAUCUUAUAUGUGUUUGGACAAAAACAUAGGCGCAACAGCCUUAUAACUAAUGCCCUUAAACAUUCUUUGCUACUACUAAAAGACGAAAGGAUGCUACUAAGAGACAGAUUGAAAUCACUUCUAUCAUAAAUUAAAAGGGUACGCAAUCUAUCAAGUCCACGAAUGGAUAUAGGAAAUGAAGUGCCUCUUUGAAAAUUUAACCCUAAGUGACGGACUUUGUCACCAAAAGAGUUUAUGACUGAGUCUUUGGUACCAUUAAUUUCUACCCACAAACAUUCUUUUCUACUUACAAAUUGGGCAAAAUCAUGUAUUAUGUCAUGCAUCUUGCAGCUCAUAAUAUCAUCAUCAUCAUCUUUUUUAAACUCUUGAAAGAAAGAGCGUGCUGCUAAAAUGUUGAAAUACUCUUCCCCAAUCAUCUCCAUCUCUUCGUCUUCUUCUGUAUUAAGAUAACCUUGAGCCAUCCAUAGUGAAAUUAGUUCCUCUUUAUUCAUAUUGUAGUUUUUUGGAAAGACAGCACAAUAUGAGAAACAUUGUUUUACCAUAGAAUUGGAGGGCAAAUCGUUAUAACUCAACAACAAAGGAGCUAAAAGACCUUGCCCAAUUGCUUCUACUUUCCACAUUUCACUCUCUAAAAUUCUUUGCCACUCUUUUACUGUACUUUUAGAGCGCAAGAGAUUCCCUAUUACCUUUGCAGCAAGAGGCAGGCCUUUGCACUUAUGUGCAAUUUUGCGCCCGAUUGGUUCUAAUUUUUCACGAUCCUCAAAGGACCUACGUAGAAAUGCCAUCUGCUUAAACAGUAACCAACAUUCCCCUUCUCCCAACUCCUUGACAGGGAUAAUAUCUAUUGAUCCCAACUGUAGUGCAACUGACCUAUCACGUGUGGUAAUUAGAAUUUUACUUUCAUGGUGGCCAUUCUUUAGACAAGAAAAGAAUGGGUCCCAUUUUUUGUAAUCUACAUCCCACACAUCAUCUAAAACAAGAAAAAACUUUUUUCCUUCAAUUGAUGUAUGGAUAUGGCUCAUAAGAGAUUGGAAUUCGCUUAAAUCAUAAGCUUCUUUUGACUUGCCUAGACCUUCAAUGAUUGCUUUGGCAACCCUAAUCCUCUCAAAAGUGUCUGAUACACACACCCAUAUAACUUUUUCAAAAUUUCUUUUCACCUCAUCAUUAUUAUAGGCCAGUUGUGCAAGAGUGGUUUUACCUAUACCCCCUAACCCAACUAGUGAGAUGAUAUGAAGGCCUUCUUGUUGUUCACUACUUUGACACAACAACUUGCUUAAGAGCUCAUCUUUCUCAUUAACUCUACCGCAAACCUCUCCCUCAUCAAUCAAGGAGGUGGUUCGCACUCGCUCUGGUUUCUUGACAUUGUUACUCACAUUCUCAACAAAUUUAAACAUAUCUUUUCGAGUGGCAAUACCAUCUAGCUUUUCAUUGAUUUCCCUAAUCUUGACAGCAAUGUCAUGACGAAGACUGAGUUGUUUGAAACUGCCACAGCAGUUUGAUACAGCACAAAAGAAGGAACGUACCUUCUUCUUAUGAACGCCCUCAAUCUGCAAUUUGAGCCUUGCAGUGGUCCACUCCUCCAACACAUCUUCCAUGUCGUAAGAUGCGUCUUUGAGCUGAUCCAGCCAAAAAGUAACAUCUUUCUCGUGCUGCAUUUGCCUUUUCUCUGCAUCUUCCAGCACAAGUUGAAUGGCUUGUAGAUUGCUGGUGAGCUUUUUCACUUCUUCGUCGACACCAGUAACAAGCCUCACCUGUUGUUUCAGUUCAUCAGUUGCAACUGAGCUCAGCUGCUCCAGGAGAGAGGAAACGAUCGCAUCAACCAUUCUGACAAAGAAGAUGAGAAUUCUGAAGAGUUAUUAGAUGUGCUUUUGUUGCGAAGAUAUGAAAGAAAGGAGUUAUUGCAUUCUUUUAUACUGCAUAGAAAAGGUUUAUGCUUAUCCCCACCCCACACGUCAAUGAUUGUAGAAUGUUUAAUUUCCCUGAUUCUACUCCACUAGUUGUGAUGCGUAAUUAUAAAUAUUCUCAAGUUAUGUAUGAAAAUCCCACAAAUUUGGAUCUAGUAAUGAUUUUUAUGUAUUUUUUCAUAAUCUUCUAAAAUACUAUAUCUGCAUGUUAUUUCGUGCAGAAAUAUGGCAUUGGGUGAAAAAAGUUAUGCUUAUCCCCACCCACACGUUAGUAAUUGUAGUAGCAUCUGUAAUUUCCAUGAUUCUACUCCACGGACGAACACAUUUUUUGUACUAACAUCUUUAAAUUCCCACACGUUAGGAAUUUGGCACAUAAUCUCAAACUCGUCGCAUCUUUAACGUAUGAGGUUGAUGAAUAAAUUCUUUUCUCAUAUCAAUUUAAAACUCCGAGAUUAUGUGCCAAAUUCCUAACGUGUGGGAAUUUUACCUCCUAAGUAAUCCGGCCCACUGCCAAGUGCCAACUUUUUCUCUGUCGAGUUAAUGAUGUUGUUUUGUUUUCCUUGUUUUAAUUAAUGUUGCGGAGAGAAACAGAUCGAUGCAAAUGGCUAGCCAGGUUUUGCAGAAACCGUGAAUGGUCUUGCAUGCAUGUGACAUAAAGCUUUAUAUAUAGCUUAUUCCUCCAUCAACAUUUCAAUGGUUCCAUCUCACGUGCACUUGGCUAUGAAUAAGGUCCAUGCAUGGAUCGAUCGAUUUAGGAGUUUGGACCAUCUCAUGCUGCAGAGUUAUGUGUCAUGUAUGUGUGUUGACACUUGCCAGUUCAUUUUUGUUAUAAAGAUUAUUGAUACUCGUAAAUGUACUACUUACAAAUCAUAAAUUUUGAGUUUGACACUUUAGUUUCAUUUUGUAAUCCCUACGCUCUUUAAAUAUUUGUAAUAAUAUAUUUCAAACUUUAACUCAGACGUAAUGAAUGAAGGGGGAUCCUCUUCUUAUAUAAAUUUUUAUUUUUUAACGUUCAAGUUACAUUUGAUUACGUGUACUUAUUAUCUAGUUUUGACUAUCUAAUGACAUUUGAUUACGUGUACUUAUUAUAUGAUUUUUUUUUAAAUGAUGGGUCUGGUGAGAUUUUUUACAUCUUGGAUUAGUAGGUCAAGAACGGGCAGGGCAGGGCCUUCUCUGAAGUCAAUCUUGUGAGCAACACCAGCUUUUUGGAUAAUUGGCAGCCCCAAUUCAUAAUUUUCUCAGUUGAUGUCCAUGGCCAAAAUCUGCAACCGAAGCUUAUUCUACUCUUAUUAAUCGAGAGAUAAUUUUAUCUCUAACUAAUUUAAUUGGGAGGAAAAUUGAGAGAGAUAUCCACUCUGUCCUUAUUAAUUGAGAGAUAAUUUUACCCUUACCCAAUUUAAUUGGAAAGGAAAUCGAAUUCCAACAAUAACUAGGACUUGAAUCCAUGCACUUAAGCUAACUUUAAGUUUUAGGAUGCAUGGUUAUAAUGUUCUUUAUUUAAAUCCUAACAAAUGGUGGGACUUGAACUUGUGCCUACAAACAUUGAGUGCUUAGGGGCUGCAAAAUUUCAUAACUUAAUUUUAGUUGAUGUGGUAUGUGCCCUAUCACAUAAAUAUGUAGAUAAUAAUAAUUAAUACAUUAACAAAAUGAAAAAUAUUAGUUUACAAAAUACAAAUCCAAAUUUUUUGUGUGACAAGGGACUUAAAAGGGAGAGACUAAACAAAUGUGGUGAAAACGACAUGUAUUACUAAAACUAAAAAUACGAAGUCUAGGCAAUUGAAAACAUCGGGUUUUUUAUUUAAAUAUCCCCAAUUUGUCCUUAAAUACCAAAUUUAUACCCUAUUAUAUACAUAUACCUCACGAAGAUAGGGAAAAUAAAAAAUAACCUUAAAAAAAUCAAGAAUCCACACAUUUCUUCCUCUCAGUGCAGGAAGAUGUCGAGUACGAAGUCGGGUAAGUCGAGAAUUUAGUCGAGCAAGAAUUGGAGAUAAGUAAGUUGAGUAUAUGGUCCAGUAGGAAGUUGAGUAAGCAUAUUAAAUGAGUCCAGUAUUAAGUGGUAGAGUAUUAAGUAAAAGUCAAGUAAAUUUUUUAAACAAGUCAAAUAAAAUUUAUGUAAUUUUUAAAGAGGUUGAGUAUUAAGUCGGGUUAGUACAUUGGGUCGAGUGUUAAUAUUUUUAAAGAAGUGAAGUCUGGUAAGUUGAGCAUUCAGUCGAGUAAGAAGUUAAGGCAAUUGAAUAAGUCGAGUCUCUAGUCGAGUACGAAGUCGGGUAUAAAGUCUGGUAAGUUGAGCAUUCAGUCGAGUAAGAAGUGAAGGCAAUUGAAUAAGUCGAGUGUCUAGUCGAGUACGAAGUUGGGUAUGAAAUCUGGUAAGUUGAGCAUUCAGUCGAGUGAGAAGUGAAGGCAAUUGAAUAAGUCAAGUAUCUAGUCGAGUACGAAGUCGGGUAUGAAGUAUGGUAAGUUGAGCAUUCAGUUGAGUAAGAAGUGAAGGCAAUUGAAUAAGUCGAGUACGAAGUCGGGUAUGAAAUAUGGUAAGUUGAGCAUUCAGUCGAGUGAGAAGUUAAGGCAAUUGAAUAAGUCGAGUAUCUAGUUGAGUACGAAGUCGGGUAUGAAGUUUGGUAAGUUAAGCAUUUAAUCGAGUAAGAAGUGAAGGUAAUUGAAUAAGUCGAGUAUCUAGUUGAUUACGAAGUCGGAUCUGAAGUCUAGUAAGUUGAACAUUCAGUUGAGUAAGAAGUGAAAACAAUUGAAUAAGUCGAAUAUCUAGUCGAGUAAAAAGUCGAGUAAGUAGAUUGAAUGAGUAGGGUAUUAAUUUUUUGUUGGCAUUUUAUUGAGGCUAUUUUUGUACUUUCUUUGGUUUUUUAAGUAUGUAUAUGCAAAGUACAGAUUUUAAUAGAUGGAUGUAUAUUUUGGGUAUUACGAGAGAAACGGGGUAUAUCCCACGCAAUUCCUUCGAAAACAUCUCUGUCAAUUGCAAUGAACAGAUCACAACCCUUCAUAAUUAAACAAAAUCAAACUUGAAAAAAAAAAUCACACACACACACACAAAACAAUCACAAAAACUAUUUGUUCUGAUCAUCCCUGCUUUUUUUUAGCGUAGCUCUUGGAAUGAAAAUUAACAAAAAGUGUCAAAAGAGAAGCAUUAAACACAGCAUUGAAGCACCAGCCCAAAAUCCCAGAGCAACCAAAUCCCGUAAAAUGAUAAUACAGCAUCAAAACCGAAACAACAAAACUAAACACAAACUGAACAAUCUAACAAUCAGUGACCAAUCUCUUCCACUUUGGCCGCAACCCCAUCACACACAAUAGAUAGUACCCGUACAUGAUCACAUGCACACUUGCAUUAGUCACAAGUGCAAUAGGAAACAAAGACUGCUUCGUCUGUAACCAAAGGUAGCACAUUACGACGACGGUUGCAUGGUGGUAGACGUGGAGGAACGUGAGCCAUUGGAUGGAUUUUGACAAAAUGAUCAAAAGGGUGUCUAAGAAUUCGAGUAUUUUGGAGAGGUAGAAGAGGUAAGCGUAGAAGAAGAGGGGGCCAGACGGAGAAAUGGUGGGGGGGAAACAGAGGGUGUAAUGGAGGUGGGGCAAAUGGACGAUGAUGGAGAGAGUGCAGCCAACGGCCAUGAUGAGGGAGAGGAGGAGGAGGGUGAGGUUAUGGACGGCUGUGAUGGGCUUGAGGAUGUGGGGUCCAAUGAGAGGUGAUGAUGAUGGUGAUGUUGAUGUUGAUAUGUGGUAGAGGAUGAAUGUGAGGGAGAGGUAAGUGAGGAUGGAGAGAAUGAGGAAGUGUGGGGAAGAAGCUAGUGUUUGGUUCUGAGUCCAUGUGAAGCUGAGGAUUUGGGGGUGGUUUACAAGACAAUAUUGGAGUGUUGAGGUGAUUGAAUUUGAAGCCAUGGCUAGUUUUUGGGGGAAGAAAGAUUUUGGAAGAGAUGAUGUUGAGAUGAACGGGGGAGUUUAUAAAGUUUUGGGAUAAUGUGGAGGGUAUUUUGGACAUAUUGUUGUCUCAGCUUAAAUUUUGGGAAAAAGAUGAUCAAUAAGAAGCUCUUUUUUUCAUAUCAAUUUAAAACUCCGACGGUGUUUCCAAAAAUUGUUUUUCUUUUUCCGUUUUUUAAUUUUAAAUCAUAAAUUUAGUAAAAGAAGUUGAAUCAAGUGAUCACUUUUUUUUUAAUGUAAAACAAUUAAUUUCUUUUGUGAUUUAAGCAAAUAUUGAGUUGCAUACUUUAAAUAUAUUAAUAUUUGAUUCGAAAUUUCAUCUACCGAAACUACAAAAAUUAAUAUUUUCUAUUAAAUCAAAACCAAAAUUAAAGAUGACUCCUUGUCUGCCAACUGUCAUUAAACAAAGCCAUCACUCACGUGAAAAAAAAAAGUGAUAUAUUCAUUUUAACGUAAUUUCAUACCAACAUAUCAUUCUUUUUUUUCCAAUAAUGACCUCUUUAAUUAUAAAAUAUGGUAAAAGGGGAUGGGUUCGAGGUAUGGCGUCCGGGCCUUUGUGACAACGGUAUCUUUGGACGUGGGUGUCGUUAGAUUUUUGGCUAUUUUCUGGUCAAUCAAACUGGUGGAUCACAUGCAUUUUAAUGACCUCUUUAAUUAUAAAAUAUGGUAAAAGGGGAUGGGUUUAAGGAAUGGCGUCCAGGCCUUUGUGACAAAGUUGGAUGUGGGUGUCAUUAGACUUUUGGCUAUUCUGCUCAAUCAAACUCGUGGAUUACAUGCACUCAACGCGGACAUUAUGGAAAUGGGAGAAAAUUAUGUUAGUAAUAGCAUCUUCAAAAGUUUCUAUACAUUUUACUCUUUAAAUAUUUAUUUACUUAUUUAUAUGAUAAAUAGAAAGGUAAAAAAAUAUAUUAUUCUCCAAAAAACUCUUCAAAUAAAAAUAAGUUAAUAUUAUUUUAAUCAAAUAAUUAUUUUUUAAAGGAAAAGUUAACAGCAAUUAAAGCACUUCUCUUUCUCUCUCUAAUAAAAAGUAAUAAAAUAUUAAUUGAAGUGUUUUUUAGAACCUUAAAUGUUGAUGUGACUCUUCAAAUAAGUAAUAAAAUCUUAAUUGAAGAGCCUUUUGGUGAUGGUUUAAAACCCACUGUUUCGUUCUAAACUAAGUGAAUUUAUCUCGUGAGCUAAGUAGUUUAGGAGAUAACUCAAAUAAUUAACUUUUUAUUAGUUUAAUAAUAAGAAUUUUCGAUUAUAUUUUAAAAGUAUAAUUCAUUACAAAAAAUUACUUAAUAAAAAUAACUGUUAUUUAACAUAUUACAUUUUUUCAAUAAUAAAAUAAUUCAAAUUUUUAAUUAUUAUAACAAAAAAAUUUGUAAUAUAAUCCAUUCAUAUACCACAUCACGUAAAAUGUAACCUAGUACUACAUGUAAUCUUGUUACUACUAUUCCUAUAAUAUUCUACCACAUCAUAUACUAUCAAAUUCCAUCCGGCAUGCCAAAUGUGCAAAGUUUGAGUAAGACUUGUUAAAGUUGAGUAACAUCUUAUAUGGCCAAGCGCAUUGAGUAUGGAUUUGCAUGAUCGAGUGAGUACAACUAAAGUCGGGUAGAGUCUGGAAAAUCCCUAUAAUGUUGAGGUUGGAGAACUAUACUUUUUAAGGUACAUAAUUAAACAAUUUUGGUAAAUAUUUACUAUUAUAACUUAAAAAUUAAUUUGAUUUGAUCUCAUAUAUUAUUAUAAUAAAAAAACUUAUAAUAUCUUUAUUAAUUUUAUUAAAAAUUAUUAUUUAGAAGUCAUAUAUUUAUUACACAUUGUCAAAUUUCAGCUUUUUGUUUUUAACAACAGCUAGUAAUAUCAAACAAGACCUAAGUUGAGUAUGAUCAAUUAAUUAAAAUUAUGAUUUUUUUUUGUAUAAAAUAAUCAUUAGAUAAUUAGUCUGUAAAGAAUAUCGGCUACUUCAAAUGGAAACUUGCGAUAAAAAAUGCAUCACAAAAGUAACAAUGACACACUAUAUAAGAAAUCUGAAAUAGAAUUUGCAAAAUUGAACUGAGUUACGGAGAGUAAAUAAGACUCCAAAGGAACAUGGCAAUUAUUAUUAUCUAGGAAACAAUUCAUAGCUAAAACAAAAUUAACUAUACUUGCCAGGAAAUAUGGCGAAUUCCACCACCUCCUACAAGUUCUUAGGUGUCUUAGAGUUUGAUGACGACUUCCAUGCUGUGUCUCUUCGACAGGCAGCAAAAUUGGGCAAUUGACUACAUUAACUCCAAGAAAUUUAUGCAGUCACCUUCCUCCGGACUAUCCUCUUUCUUUGAGCUUUGGUUGCCCCUAUUUCCCCUUCAAUAGAGUCAUCACUGUUUUGUUUGAAGCCAAGGAGCCCAAGAUCAGAAAAAUGGCAUUCUUUGGUAUCAAUCCCUCGAUCCCCAAGUCACGUCACUAACUUUCUGUUGAUCGCGUAGCUAGUUCAUGUAUGCCACAGCAGCGGAAGGUAGCCUGAAGAAGAAAAAACCUCUCUCUCUUUCUUGCUCAGUAACCACCUGGGCACUUUUGUGCUGAGCCAUGACAUCCUGAGAUGGCCUGUUGUGUAAGCCUUCUUCAAAAGGUCAUCUGUCGAUCUUUCUCCUAAUUAGACAUCCAAAACCCAGCAUGGAAUCCAUUUGAGAAGGUGGACAAUAGACAAACUCCAACGCAUACAGACAGUAAAGAAGAAUUUAGACCGCAAUCACUGUGGCUGAAUAAAUGGGCCUAUUAAGCCUAUUAAAAGUUGGAACCAUAUUCACCACUCGCAGUUCCUUAGAGAACUUUAUCAGAAUUCUGAAAAUUUAAAACUAUUCUUACAUAUUUAACUGUAAAACAAGAGAAAUUGUACUUCCGUAGCAAAGUCUCACUAUUGGUAAGUAUCUGGACUUGGAAAGGAUGCUAGUUGAUUAAGUAAAGGAAAAUUGAAAUCAGACUUUGAGGUGAUAGAUCUAUAUACACUUUAAUCGGAACCACAUUAACAUCAUAUGAGCCAAACAAACAAAUUCCCCAGUCAAAGUUCAACAAACAAAACAUUAAAACAAGAGUAAUUUGGUGUAUCAAUGUAUAUAUAGAGAUGUCGAUCAUUGACAAAUACGUAAAAGAGGGAGGGAGAGACCUCAAAGCCGUGCUUAACAACAUUGCUACUCCAAUAACUUCAAAAUGGUUGGCGACGUCUCUAUCAAAGCCACACAAUAGCUGAUAUCUCAUGUUUGCAUGUAGUCCAAUGAAAGCACCAUAACCAAGAACAUUAGUACUCACAGAUGGGUUUGUCACAGAUAACCUGUCAGGCAAUAAAAAUUGCCCAAAUUAAACAAAUGUUAGACCGGCUUAGACAGUAAACGGAACAAUAUUCUAAUUUUACUUUAUUUAUAACGAAUAAGUGAACAAAGGAAUGAAAAGGAAGUUUGGCAACAGUCUUUUUACCAGCCAGAUAGUUUGACAAAGAAUCUUGCACUGCUCCUGCAGCUAAUCCCACCAUACACAACUCUGCAGUCUUGUUUGGGAGUCAAAAUUCUCAAAAUGGGUAACUCUGUUCAAAUAUACUGUUUGGGAACUUUUGUAAUGUAUUUUGCAAGUCAAACAGGAAGGUAUUUCCAUAAGAAGGUUCACUUCACAUGCUCAACAAUUCAAAUUUGCGGAUGAUAUUUCUCAAAAUGGAGGGCUCUAUUUGGCUUGCCAACAAUCUUCCUCACCAUUAUCAUCCUUGCUAUACCGGUUAAACUGAACAGUCUUCAUUCUGACAUUUGCCCUAUUAACCUGAGUACACAAGAAUCCGAAACAACUGUUAGAAAUUAUAAUCUUUAUAUAUAGCCAAAAUGUUGAAUAAGAUGAUGUACUUGAUAAUAAAUACCUGAGUUAAUAAAUAAUUAAGGGGCCGGUAACAAUGUCAGCAUCUUAUCAAGUGGGGAAAGCCUACGCAACGAAGAUGCUGCCUGCUUUCAAGAAAUAAUAACUUUCCAAUUCCAUAAGGUAGGUUAAUGCCCUUUUAAAAAUAUCUCCACCAGCCUAACAAUUAUUCAUUGAAAUGUGUGAGUGUGAAUUCGAACGAAUUAAUCAAAUAUGAUGACACGAGAAAGAAAAUUAAAAUAACCACAAGAAGUAGAAAUAUACUUUUGUUAUAUUUAGUGCAUCUUCUGUGUGUGCUCAAACGCAAUGCCUCAAGGCGCAAGAUAAUUUUAUGACCAUCAAUCUUUUGCAGCCAUAUGCAGACUUGAAACAUUGGCGGUGGUUCUAAGGAACUUGAAAAUUAGAAAAGUUUCAAAAUGAGUGACUAAAUAUGAUAAUCGAAAUUAAUUAAAUAUACACGCCUUGUAAAUAUGAAACUAAAUUACUCAAAUGUAUGUGCCUCUUCGCAGCAAUUGCUCGUGGUGGAAACUUUACUGCAAAGACUUCCUCAAACCCUUGAAGAUCACACUCUUCCUGGCAACAAAGAAACAGAGUCGAUAUACGAAGAUGAUUUUACUAACAAGUGAGAGCUUGCAAAUAUUGGAAGGAUAACGAUUGCUCAUAACCCAAAUCCCCAAUACCCUCUAAUAUCUCACUCGAGUGAGUUCAAGCCCCCAAAAUUCACUACAGUGAAACUCUCGAAACAAAAUUCUCUUCAAAUAUUCUCAACUCAAAUUUGAUAAUGAUAUCUCUUGAAGGAAGGCAAAAAAUCUAACACUGAUCAAAUUGGCUUGUGAACAAUUAAUGUUCCUGGCCAUCAUUCAUACUAGGUGUGGCGAACAAUUAAGCUGCUUAGUAUCCUGAACCUGAUAACUUACACAAACAAAAACAACUUGCCUAAAGUUUAAUAUUUAGAGGCAGAACGGUAAAGAAGAAGAUAUAUAUUGAUACUAAAAUUUGACUUGCGUUACCCUGAUGUCAAGAAUAGCGGGAUCUCAUGUGGGCAAAAUCUUCGCAAUACGAGAUGCUUGCAAAAUUGAAGCAGCAUCUUAUCACCUGUAAUUUAAUUAAGAUAAUAACUUUCCCCGACUAUUUCAAUGCAUUAUUGGCAACUAAAUUCAGAGGGCGCUAAUUAAAUACCCUUUUAACAAUAUCUUCUUAUUCUUCUCUAAUCUAGCAGUUAUUUGGAAAAUCUAAAUGACAGUCAUGCAUCAAUGGCGUCAAAAUUUGGCUACAAAGCAGCCUACAAAAGGCUUCACCCUCUGAAUGAGAGCAUGAAUUCGAAUAAUAUGAUGAAUGAAGAAACAAAGGCAUAAUACCACAAGAAGUCAAACUUUUCCCCAGAGCUCUGUUUCUGUUUGUGCUAAAGCAAAUGGAAACCAGUGGAAAUGAAUUUCUAUGAACUAGACAUAUCAGCCAAAACAGGUACUCUGUGCAAGCAAAGUAAAAAAGAGUUACAAACAAAUUUAAGAUUGAUAUGAUAAUUAAAAUUUCAGUCACCAUAUAAUUAAUAGAAAACUUUGUACACAAUGAUUUAUUGCAUAUUAAGAUUGUAUACCUAAAUUUUAAUUGCUAUGCAAAAUAUGAUAUUAGCAUUAGGAGACCGCACCAAAACGUACCGUAUUGAAUGUGCCUUUUCACAACCAUUGUACAAGCUUUGAAGCUUUGGCACAAAUGCUUUUUCAAACCCAUGAACAUGAUGCACCCGAGAGAUGCAAGAUAUGAAAUUGUUACAACAGCAGGCAUUGAAACAUUUGUUAAGAAAGGAAGUUUAUGAAAAUACGCCUUAACAUUCAUUAGAUACAUGUCUUCAGGAAUCAAUUCAUCUGUAAUAACAAUUUUCAAAGAGCAUUAACUGCUUUAAGCCCCUCAACAUCACAGAGAUCUUCAAUUAAAAUAGCGCAGAUCCGGCCAUCACUAUUACUUCUACUGCUCUUUCGCUUUAGAGAACGCUUGAAUUACAGAAUGCAUGUAAGGCUUUCUUGUUUAAGGUCCAGCAAACCUUGCACAAUAACAACAGAGGCAGUGGUUCCAUUGCCAGCCUAAUCCUUGGUCUCACCAAUGUUCUGCACGAGUAGGAAAUCAACCUUAAAAUUAAGAAUGAGUUGCAAAAACUGUUUAUGGCCCUAAAGAACUUGAAAAUCGGAAAUGAUUAAGAAUGAGUGAGUAAACAUUUUAAUCGAAUAAACAUACAAAACUUGAAAACCUAACAUUGAAGUACUCUGAAUGAAUGUGCAAUUGCACGAGCUGGUGACAACUGACUUUACUGCAAAGGCUCUUUCAAACCCUUGGAGAUGAUAAAAAUAAAAAUGCAAUGCUUGAGCUUGAGCUUGAGCUUGUUUUAACAUCAUCAUAGUAGGGAAUUUUGAUAUAUCUUUACUUCUCUGUGGUUCAAUCAUUUACUUCUCUGUUCUUGUUUAUUCACAACAAGAUAUCAAUAGAAGAAGAUGGAAAUGAAAUUCUAUAAAAUAAAGCAAGUGAAUUACCAGCAGAACAUUUUAGCAAUCCUUUGGCUAAACUUUUCAUUUUCUUAGCAUACUCUCCUGCCUGCAUCAUUAAAACCAAAUUAGAUUGGACCUGUGAAUUGCUAGUGUGGUUCUGACAUUUCCUCGAAUCCCUGGUGAACAUAAUUAAACGCGUAUGAAAUAAAACAAAGUGGGCUAAUGUACUACUAAAAACAAUUACACAAUUACUUUAAAGAAUUAAUGUCACAUAAAUUAUAUAUAAAAAAAUAAGAUUAUCAUUAUACAAGAUAAAAUUGAUAAUUUAUUUUUCAACAUUACUGCAAAUGUAUUACAGAGAUUUUGUCUCUCAGGAAGUUACACAUAACAAAUUUUCGUACAUUAAAAAAUAAAUUACAUUGGGAUUUUCUAUGAUGUUGUAUGCAAUUUUACAAAAGAGCACAUAUUUUUUAAAAGUAAAUAAAUAUAGAAAUUUAAACAGACUACACUUGUAUUUUUUUAUUAUUUAAUCUUUAGAAAACAAGUUUAACAGAAUUGAUAACUAGGAAGUUUUACAUAUUAUUUCAUUGCAAGCAACAACGAAGUAAAUCAGAGGAGGAGGAGAAAUUACCGGCGAGUGAUAUCUUACGGCUACCACGUGAUGUGGGGAAUGUGAGAUAUCUUCUCCUUUCCCCUCUCUAUGACGGUUUUCCAAAAGGGGACAUCCCCAAAUUGUCAAUUUCUGCAGCGUCGUCGUUCGAAGGAGGUAAUCCGGCAGCACCUUUAAUUUGGGGCAAUCCCCAAUUAGCAGGGAAGAAAGACGUGGUAUGUCUGUUGUCCUGCGAUCUUCUAGAAUGGGCAGUUCUUCCAAAUUUUUACAAGAAUAAAUACUCAGUUCCUGCAGCGUCGUCGUCCGAAGAAGGUAAUCCGGCAGCACCUUUAAUUUGGGGCAAUGCUCAAUUUCCAAGGAAGAAAGACGUGGCAUGAUGGAGAUGUUUUCCUUCCUCGUAAUCCUGUAAUUCCACUCUUCCAAUUCAUCCAAGAACCAAAUUUUGAGAGAUUUCAAUUUGGGGAAGGCAAUAACUGAUGAUGACGAUGAAGAUGAAGAUGAGUCGUCCUCACCGCUUUCUUUUAUUCCCAAAAACUCAUUACCCACUCUUUUUACACUUUUCAAAUUGCAUAGGAUGAGUUUUUCCGGAGGCAAUUUUCCCAAAGGAGGCAAAUGCUCACAGUUAAAACACAAGGAAAGAUAUAAAUUCCUUAGAUUGGUUAGUAAAGUCAACCAUUUGGGAAAAAUGACGCCUCCAUAGGAUUCAAUCCCUAAUUCCUCUACAUUCAAAGGCGGUUGUAAGGCUUCAAGAAGUUGUUUAUCUUUCUCGUUCUUCCUCCUCCCUUCUUCGCCUUCCCCAUCUACGACUCCACCAAACACAAGACGCAAACGAAGGAGGUUUUUCUUAUUGUAAAGUUGUAACCUCUCAACCUCAUCUACAUGCGAUACAUUACUCAGCCCUUCUAUACUACAUUUACCACGGAGUUGAAGAUUUUUCAGAGAUUCAAGCCUACAUGUGCUGCCGCCAUCAACACCUCCACCCACAACAAACUUUUCUAAUGUUCGAAGGCUGGUCAAUCUGGAAAUCCCUAUUGGAAACUCCUCAUGUUCUUUAACUUCCCAAUCCCGGCUGGCAAUUCUCUAAGAUAUUUGCACCGCCUAAUAUCUAGCUUUUGUAAAUUAUAUAAUUCACACAAAGUCUCAGGUAGUCUCGCUAUAUAUAAUUUAGACAACUUAAGAUAUUAAGAUAUUUUAAAUGUAUCAAUUUUCCAACAUUAUUUGGAAUUUCUGUAAUCCAAUUUGUGCCUUCAUACAAAAGCUUGAUCGAUUGCCUUAUAACUAAUGCCCUUAAACAUGCCAAUUUAUUAAAUAACUCCCGAAGGAUGCUAUUAUUAAGAGACGGAUUGAAAAAACCUUCAUCAUAAAUUAAUAGGGUACGCAAUCUAUUAAGUCCAUAAAUGGUCAUAGGAAAUGAAGCUCCUCCUCCAAAAUUUAACCGUAAGUGACGGACUUUGUCACCAAAAAAUUUUAUGACUGAUUCCUUGGUACCAUUAAUUUCUAGCCACAAACAUUCUUUGCUACUUACAAAUUGGGCAAAAUCAUGUACUAUGUCAUGCAUCUUACAACUCGUGAAAUCAUCAUCGUCCUCAUAUAUUUUAAACUCUUGAAAGAAAGAGUGUGUUGCUAAGAUGUUGAAAUACUCUUCUCCAAUCAUCUCCAUUUCUUCGUCUUCUUCUGCAUUAAGGUAACCUUGAGCCAUCCACAGAUCAAUCAACUCCUCUUUAUCCAUCACGUAGUCUUUUGGAAAGACAGCACAAUAUGAGAAACACCGUUUUACCAUAGAAUUGGAGGGCAAAUCGUUAUAACUCAACAACAAAGGAGCCAAAAGACCUUGCCCAAUCUCUUCUACUUUCCACAUUUCACUCUCUAAAAUUCUUUGCCACUCUUUUACUGUACUUUUAGAGCGCAAGAGAUUCCCUAUUACCUUUGCAGCAAGAGGCAGGCCUUUGCACUUACAUGCAAUUUUUCGCCCGAUUGGUUCUAAUUUUUCACAAUCCUCAAAAGAACGACCGAAAAAUGCUAACUGCUUGAACAAUGACCAGCAUUCCUCUUCAACCAAUUGCUUGAUGGAGAUAAUAUUUGUUGAUCCCAUCAUACGUGCAACUAACUCAUUACGUGUGGUAACCAAAAUUUUACUUCCGUGGAGACCAUUUUUUAGACAACGGAAGAAUGGUUGCCAUUUAUUGUAAUCCCCAUCCCAUACAUCAUCUAAGACAAGAAAAUUUUUUUUUCCUUUAAUUGAACUCUGGAUACGGCUCAUAAGAGAUUGGAAUUCGUUUAAACCAGAAGCUGACUUCCCUAGACCUUCAAUGAUUGCUUUGGCAAUCCUAAUCUGAUCAAAAGUGUCCGAUACACACACCCAUAUAACUUUUUCAAAAUUUCUUUUCACCUCAUCAUUAUUAUAGGCUAGUUGUGCAAGAGUGGUUUUACCUAUACCCCCUAACCCAACCAGUGAAAUGACCUGAAGGCCAUUUUGUUGUUCACUACUUUCACACAACAACUUGCUUAAGAGCUCACUUUUCUCAUCAACCCUACCGCAAACCUCUCCCUCAUCAAUCAAGGACGUGGUUCGCACUCUCUCUGGUUUCUUAACAUUGUUACUCACAUUCUCAACUAAUUUGAAACUAUCUUUUUGUCUGGCAAUAUCAUCUAGCUUUUCACUGAUUUCUCUAAUCUUGACAGCAAUAUCAUGACGAAGACUGAGUUGUUUGAAACCACCAAAGCAGUUUGAGGCAGCAGGAAAGAAGAAACAUACCUUCGUCAAAAAAGUAACAAAAGCACCGUCGUUAUCAUCAUAAUCAUCAUCGCCUCCCUCAUCAAGCUGCAAUUUCCGUGUUUCAGUGAUCCACUCUUCCAACACAUCUUCCAUGUCGUAGGAUGCGUCUCUGAGCUGAUCCAGCCAAAAAGUAACAGCUUUGUCCUGCUUCAUUUGCCUCUGCUCUGCAUCUUCCAGCACAGCUUGAAUGGCUUGAAGAUUGGUGGUAAGCUUUCCCACUUCUUGUUCGACACCCGUCACAAGCCUCCACUUUUCUUUCACCUGAUCUUGAGCAAUGGAUUUCAGCUGGUCCAGGAGAGGGGAAACGAUCGCAUGAGCCAUUCUGAUAUUAGAUCAAAUGGUAAAUGCUGCAAUUGCUUUUCUUUCUAAACUGCUCAGAGGAAAGUAGCUUUUAUGUAUUCUGUGAGAAUGCUCAUUCAACCAUGUUUGCAUUCUUCUUAUACUAAUAGGAGAUUUAAUUUUUACCCUCAAGUCAAUGUCAAUGUGAACGUUCUUUUGUGCUGCAAAUUGAAGGAGUCCCCACAGGAGUCACCGUCGUGGUUACUUGCUGCUCUUAAGAUAAUUAGUAACAAAAUAUUUGUAAACUGCAACAAAAAGCUCAGUGCAAUCUAUCUAUGAAUCUUGUGAGUUCACAUAUAAUACAGUCGAUUUAGAAUAGUCAUAAAUUUUUUUUAUUAUAAAUAUUAGUAUAUUUUUAAUGGUAUAAUAUAUAUCGAUGAAACUAUAUAGAGUAAUUUCGCCUAAUUGUAUAAAUUCAUUACGAAUAUCAUCACAAAUUUGUAUUUGGUCGGGACCGUGCGAGUGAAAUUUUUGAUAAAAUCGUCUCCUGACAAUUUAUUUAUUAUAUUCCAUUCCUUUUAUUAUCAGGUAGGCCAAAGCCAUUUGGACAUUUGAAAAAGUAUGUGAUUCUGUUUUAGUCUAUUAUGUCACGACAAAAAGAGAAUUGGAAAAUGUAACAUUCUCAAAUUAAUUUGUAGUGGAAAAGAGAAAAAUAAGACAAAAGUUGGAAAAAUCAUGCAGCCGACCCUUUUUUUUAUCUGAUUGCGCAAUAUUAGGUAGGCGAAUGCGACUUCAUCGAUAUCACACAGCAGUGGUUCUGUCAUUAAUUUUUUUCUUUUAUUUAAUUAAGAAAAGGAAGAAAAGAUAGCACAUGUUAUGAUUAUUGUGAAUUUUCCAUCCCUUAUAUAAAUUCUCAAAUUUAUUUAAAUUGUGAGUCAUAGAAGUAUAUUACCUAAACUAUUUUAUCAGGCCAUGUUCGGAUACUAGGAUUAAGUAUGGAAUUGGACUAAUUUUGUGAUUAUAUUUUAUAUCAAAUUUGGUAAGCUUAAUUGAAUUGGACUAAGGGACUAAAUUUAAGUUUAAUCCUAAAAUUAUGGGAUUAAUAAUCCUAAUUUACACAUUCCUUUAGUUGGGACUUGGGAUAAGAUUAAAGAAAAAAAGUUAUCCAUUUAUGAGACUUUAAUUUAUGUCAUUAUUUUUUAUUUAUACUUAAUAUUAAUUAAUUUAUUAAUUUAUUUUUAAUUUAUGAUUUACUUAAAAUUUAUUUUUAUUUAUUAUCUAUUAUCUGGUUAAAUUAGAACUUUACUUCUACUAACUCUUGCGAUUAAUUUUUCAUUACUUGCGUAUUUGAUAAUUUGCCAAUAAAAUUAACCAUUUAAUAAUUUCUUGCAUUAUUGAUUGUAUUAAAUUUAAUAAUCACUAAUAUAAUAUUAAAAAUAAUCAUGAAAAUUAAUAAUACCUUCAAUUAAUUGAUUUUAUAUACUUUUUUUAAAUAUUUGAUAAGAAGUUGAUAAAAAUUAAUUAAGGAUUUAAAAUUUUAUUCAUUUUUUAUUUAUUUAUUUUAUCAUGAAUACCCAGUAUCUUACAAUAUAAUUAAUUUUCUUAUUCAGACUACUCAGCAUCAGCUCCUGUAAAAUUUCUUACAUUAUAAGCAACAAAAUAUUUAUAAACUACAACAAAAGGCUUAGAUCAAUCCACCGAUGAACCUUUUGAAGUUAUAUAUAAUAUAUUAAUUGUUGAUCUAGAAUAGUCUUAGUGGAUAGAUUUUUUUAAUUAUAAAUAUUAAUAAAUUUUUUAUCGUUUAAUAGAUAUUGAUGAAAUUAUAUGGAGUAAUUUCGCCUAAUCAUAUUAAUUCAUUAUGAAUUUCAGCACAAAUUUGUAUGUGAUCGAUCUGGACCGUGUAAGUGAAAUUUAUUUACUAUAUUUUUCAACUUGGCCGACAACAUCUUUUUGUCAGGUAGGCAAAAGCAAAAGCCAUUAUCUCAUUAAUUGAUUUGGUCAUUUGAGAAUGUAACUCUAUUAUGCCGUGACAAACUCCAAGAUCUAAUUUAGAGAGCGACCCAAAUAAUGGUAAUUAGUAAUUUAUUACAUCUGCAGUUAGAUAGAUACUUUGUCUGGGAAAAAAAUAAAAUCAGUUUUAUAAUGAUUUUAAUUAAUUCAUUUGGUCAUUUGAAAAAGUUGUGGCUCUGUUUUAGUCCAGUGUCAAUAUAUAACUUUAUUAUGUCAUGACAAACUUUAAAAUUUAAUUUAGAGUGUGACUCGAAUAAUUUUAAUUAGUAAUUUAUUAUAUCUACAGUCGGAUACUUUGUUGAGAAAAAAAAAAAUAAAAUCUGUCCCAUAAUGAUUUUAAUAAAUAUCAUACUAUUGUCUACGGACUUACCUCAUAUUACAAAGAAUUAAAAUAUGCGAAAGAUAACUAAGGAAUAAAAUUUUUCCACAAUGAUUUAUAAAAUUGCUUUUGAAGAACGGUUAUGAUAUUAUAUUAAAUUACUAAGAAUUUAGUUAACCUCUCAAGAAGUCUAUUUGGUUGACUUCUCGAGUUUAAAAUUCGAAUGUCAAAAAAGAUAAAAGGUUAAAAAAAUAUUUUAAAUAUUAUCCACCCUUUUACUAUUUUAAUAUACAAAAAGAAGAAUUACUUGUUUUUAACAAUAGCAACCGGGGGCAUAAUAUAUCUGAUGGAUUUUUUUAAGGAACAAAACUUAUUAUAUCUCCUAUCAAAAAUGUCAUUUUUGUUAGUAAAAGGAUAUCUAUAUCUCCAAAUUUUGGAAAAAUGGUUACCAGCGCUUCCAAGUCCUAAAUUUUCAAAAAGAGACACUAAAACUCAUUUUUUACUACAAUACCCUUUACUUUUAUUAUCCCAAAAGUUAACUUUAAUUUUUUUUAUAAUAAAUAGAAAUAUAAUAUUAAAAUAAAUGUAUUAAAAUUUAAAUUAUUAUGAAAAAUAAUAAUUUUAAUAUUAUUAGUAUAUGAGACUUUUUUAAUUGUAAAAUGUAUUUAAUGCAAAUAUUUAUUUAAAAUCUCUAGAAUAAAUACAAAUAUAUUAUUAAAAUAAAUAUAAUAAUUUACAUAUUUAAAUUUAUUUUAAUAUUAUUAAUCUACUACAUAGAUUACAUUAUUUAUAUAAUAUUUGUGUUUACUAAAAAUUUGCAAGUUAAAUUUUUCGGGAUACUAAAGGUAAAGAGUAUUAUGGUCAAAAGAGAGUCUUGAUGUCAUUUUUAGAAAACUUGGGGUGUUGGUGACUAUUUCUCCAAACCAUGGGGAUAUAGAUAUCCUUUUCUCUUUUUUAUUUUAAACAAGUGGUGACUAAAGAUUAAACUGUCAUAUAUUCACAAGAUAUUCACCACAAAAUUUGUAGGAAAUUUCUUCUUCCCUAAGCGGAAAAUACAAAACAAAAACAUAAUUGGCAAUUUCACUAGCAAAACUAAUAAUACUUUUGUUCCAUAUCCAGGGGUAGAGCUCGGGGUAAAUCUUCAUGACGCCCAAAUUCAAAUUUCAAGUGUUAGCUGGGAAUUAAUUUUAGACAAUUUUAUUUAUUUAUUUAUAGCUAGUAUGUAAUUGUUAGGUAUUUCAAAAUUUGAGAAUUUUGUGAUUCUGUGAGAAUGUUGAUUCAAGCAUGUUUGCAUUCUUCUUAUAAGUACCAUAGGAGAUAUUUAGUUUUUACCCUCAAGUCAAUGUCAAUGUGAACGUUGUUUUGUGCUGCAAAUUAAAGGAGUCCCCACAGGAGUCACCGAUUUGCUUUGAGAAUUUUGAGAAUUAUGUUUUGCGAGUGAAAUUGCCAUUUUGUCAUAAUGGAAUUUUGCUUUCUGAUCAAUAAUUGAGAAUUUUGCUUGUAGCUACAGGCUGCAGCGAUUUUGAUUUGACGGCUUUGAUUCAUAAUUGAAGUUACUGUUGCAAGUAAAAACUAAAAAAAUUAACAAAAUAAAAAUCAAAGACUUAGGUCCAUGUUGCAAGUAAAAACUAAAAAAAUUAACAAAAUAAAAAUCAAAGACUUAGGUCCAUGUUUUAUCAAAAUUUUAAUAAAAGGCUAUUUGUCAUUUUGUCAUAAUGGAAAAAUGAUUAACAAAAUAAAAAAAUCGAAUUUACUUGAUUUUAUUUUACAAAAUAUAAAUUAAAUUUCUAUUAUAUGUAUAAAGUUUAUACAUCAAGUGCUUAGGGGUCAAAUCAAUCUUUUUAUACCUAAUUUUUAAUAUUUUACUUCGAAACCUCAAAAAUUUUUAAAGUUUGUUGGGUCACAAUCCCCGCUAGGAGUGGGCAAAUUUGUGUUCAUAUCAACUUGAAUAGGUUUUGGGUUGAUUAGGCUAGAACUGGAUCAGAUCAAAAAGUAUGAGAGAAAUUAAUUGAGCUUCUCCCAAGAAAAAUACAUACAGAUGAUUGAUAUAUAACCAUUAAAUAAUAAAUAUGUUAGACUUACAUUUAUUUUUUAGCCCUAAAAGUAUGAAAAAAUUAAUACUUUCCGAAUUUAUUUUUUGUACCGUAAAGAAUCAAAUUACUCACAAAAUUAUUUUUAACUUUCAUCAUGCAAACAAACAAAUCAUCAUCAAUUUCAAUAGAAAGAAGUAGAAUAUGAUGUAUUUAGGACUUCCUACUCUAUUAGCUAGGUUAAUAACAUGUUAAUUGUCACAUCAUUAAUUUUAGAUUAUAAAUUUUAUAUUCAAACUUUGUAUGACUGCUCCUUUUUCAAUGAUCUAAUGUUAGAGUGCAAUUUAUGCACUAGUUUUGCAUUGUUUACUUCCUUUAAUAUUGAUAUUUUACACUUAAUAAUAGUGAUUUACUUGUAUUUUAUUUUUGUAGGUGCAAUUCUAUUGAUUGGUGCUAAAAUUGAGAUACAAGAUGAUGUUUAAGGAUGGUUGUUCUCUUGGAUAAAUUAUGAGUGUCAGAAGAACUUUGUUGAUAAGGCGUGGGCGCGUGCUGUCAACUACGGACCUGCAGUUUUUAGUUUAAUGUGUUUUGUAUUUUUGGUUAUUUUUGUAAUUAUGAAUUUAAUGUUUCAGAUAUUAGUAUUUUAUUUUAAAUAGAACUCUAGAGGAGAAGAGAGGGAGAGUAUUUAAGGGAGGAAUCUAUUGUGAAAAAUGUGAGAGAUUGGAGAAAAAGAAAGAAACCCUAGAUCUAAACUUUUCUCUUCUCUCUAUGAAGAACUAAACCUAUUUUUCUAGUUGAAGGUUAAUGAAGCUUUGAUUCAUCACUACUGUGAGAUCUUUCUUAUGCUUUAAUUGUUUUAUUGCUUUUUGGGUAUUUGUUUAUUUUUUGAAUUAUUUUCAUGAUUAUGUUUGUUAAUUAGGUAAUUGGACACUAUUUAAUUAUCAACUUAAUCUAUUGUCAAUUCAAUGAUUCAUCGUAUGAAGAUUUUAAUGUUUGUGACAAAUAACAUAGCAGUGAGUUGUAUUAUGAGAAUAAACAAUCUAAUUUAAAUGAACCAUCGUAUGUGUUUGUUGAUUAGGAUUUGGGUCUCUCUGGUUUUUCAGGCUGUCAAUUGAUAUAAUCUUAUGAUUGUAUUUAGGGUUGUCUAUUGAUUAGGGAAAUAACCAACGGUCGUACCUUGGUUAUCGACUAGUUAAGGAGAGAUUGGCUAUUAGAGGGUCUCAGUAGCUAUAACCGGUGUAUUCAUAAGUAGUAAUAAUUUAUAUUUGAAUCAAUGAUUAGUAGUCGAAUCAAGCUCAGUUAAUUCCUUCAACCAAAGCUUUCUCCAAUUUGAAUUACAACUUUAAUUUGCAUUCUAGUUAUUUUAAUUUGAUUUCUAUUAUUGUCAACAACUCCCCCAUUUUACGUUUUACAUUUUAAAAGGAUUUAAAUAAUUACCGAUCUCUGUGAACACGACCCUGCUCAAUCAUUAUACAUAAUUUAUUUAGAGUAUGUAUUUAUUUUUGCUGUCUUCGACAAUCAUCAAAUUUUGGCGCCGUUGCCGGGGAUUGGUGUCGUUUAUUUAAUCCUUUUUACAUUUUACUUGGUGUAUGGUUCAUUCUUCUCGUACAGGUACACUUUCGUUUGAUCCUGAAAUUGAGAAGACAGCUCGCCAGCUGAGACAGCAGACGAAGCAAGCUAAGCAACGAUUCUCGUCGCCUUUGCUUUUUGAAACAGAUACAGUGUCUGAUUUGAUUGAAUCAUCUAGCGAUUCAGAAGAACAAGUGAUGGAUAGAGCUGCACCUGUAGAAAGAACUCUUAAAGAGUUAGCUGAACCAGACUUGAAUCAGCAACCACUCUGCAUUCAAUAUGUAGACUUGGAGGUAAAUUUUGAAUUAAAGUCUGGUCUUAUUAAUUUAUUACUCAAGUUUCAUGGUUUUGCAGGUGAAGAUCAUCAUAAACAUCUCAAGGAGUUUCAUGUUGUGUGCUCAAGUAUGAGGCCACAAGGCGUGACUGAAGAGCAGAUUAAGCUGUGUGCUUUUCCGUUCUCUGCAGAUGGGCUAGCUAAAGACUCGUUGUACUACUUGCCUCCUGGAUUGAGUACAACGUGGAAUGGUUUGAAGAAGCAGUUCCUUGAGAAGUACUUUCCUGCUUCAAGAGCUGCCAACAUCAGAAAAGAUAUUUGUGGGAUCAGACAACUUCCUGGGGAGAUUUUGUAUGAGUAUUGGGAGUGAUUCAAACAAUUGUGUGCCAGCUGUCCUCAGCAUCAGAUUUCUGAUCAACUUCUUAUUCAAUAUUUUUACGAAGGACUGUCAUUGAUGGAUAGGAGUAUGAUAGAUGCUGCUAGUGGAGGCGUGUUGGUGAACAAGACCCCUACUCAAGUAAGGGAGUUGAUCUCAAAUAUGGCUGCCAAUGCACAACAAUUUAGCAGCAGGCAAGAUCCCACUUCAAAGAAGGUGAAUGAGGUAAAUAUUUCUUCUGUUGAACAACGUUCAGAUAAACUUACUUCUCUUGUGGAAAAGUUUGUUUUAGGUAAUGUACAAUAGGUGAAGACUUGUGGCAUCUGUUACAAUAUGGGUCAUUCAACUGAUAUAUGUCCUACGCUUCAAGAAGAACCCGUUGAACAAGCCAAUGUAGUUGGAGGAUUUCCAGGCAAGCCUCAGAAGAGGUAUGAUCCUUAUGCACAAACAUACAAUUCAGGGUGGAAGGAUCAUCCCAACUUCAACUAUGGAGUUAGGCCGUCAGGAUUCCCACAACAGUAUCCACCAAGACAACCAGCACCUCCACAGUCAAACUCCAAGUCAGGUAUAUCUCUUGAAGAAAUUGUUAAAUCACUUGCAACUAACACUCAACAAUUUCAGCAGGCAACUACAGCAAGCAUUCAGAAUUUGGAGAACCAAAUGAGUCAAUUGGCCACUACAAUGAGCCGUCUGGAGUUUCAAGUAUUAGGGAGAUUGCCUUCACAAUCUGAGGUAAAUUUAAAGCAAAACGUUAGUACUGUCAUCCUUAGAAGUGGGAAGGAGUUACAAGAGCCUAGUAAGAAAGUGACAAAGCAUGUAGAAGAUGAGCUUGAGAAGAAUGAAUUGAUGCCUAAAUCUCAAGAUGCGCAACCCACCAAAGCGAAACCCCUACCUAUUGUGAUACCUCCUCAUUUUCUAAGCCGGUUUGUAAAAUCCAAGAAGGAGGAACAAGAGAAAGACAUCCUUGAGACAUUUCGCAAGGUUGAGGUAAAUAUUCCUUUAUUAGAUGCUAUAAAACAAAUACCUCGAUAUGCUAAAGUUCUUAAGGAACUGUGCACCUCCAAGAGAAAAUUAAGAGGAGAUGAAAAAGUUCACAUGGGGGAGAAUGUUUCAGCAGUUCUCCAAAAGAAAGUACCUCCUAAGUGCAUGGAUCCAGGUAUGUUUACUAUCCCUUGUAAAAUUGGUAGUGUUAGAGUUGAAAAUGCUAUGUUAGAUCUAGGAGCUUCUAUUAAUGUCAUGCCUCGUUCCAUUUAUUCAUCUUUGAAUGUUGGUCCAUUGAAAAAAACUGGCAUGAUAAUUCAACUAGCUGAUAGGUCUAAUGCAUAUCCUGAUGGGGUAUUAGAAGAUGUCUUAGUACAAGUUCAUGAGUUGGUUUUUCCUGUUGAUUUUUAUGUACUUGAUAUGGAAGAGGAUAACUCCUCUAAUUCUUUCCCAAUUUUGCUAGGAAGACCUUUUCUUAACACUACUAGGACUAAAAUGGAUGUACAUAAAGAGACUCUCACUAUGGAGUUUGAUGGAGAGGUUAUAGAAUUCAAUAUGAAUGAUGCCAUGAAAUAUCCUAAUGAGAAACAUUCGGCAUUUUUUGUGGAUGUUAUUAACCCUAUAAUGCAGGAAGUUUUUUACAAGGAAAAGACGAAGAAAUUUCAUGAUAGAAUGAUUUUGAGAAAGGAGCUCUCUGUUGGUCAAAAAGUUCUUUUUUAUUCUAAGCUUAAACUUUUUCCGGGUAAAUUACGUUCUUGCUGGGUUGGACCUUUUAUUAUUACUAAUGUUUUUCUUCAUAGUGCAGUUGAGAUUCGGAGUCCGACCUCUGACAAAGUUUUUAAGGUUAAUGGUCAUUGGUUAAAACCUUUUUAUAAAGGUUUUUCGGUGAAUAUUGUGGAGGAUAUGGCUCUCAAGAGUCCCAAUUAUGGAGAUUGAUGCAUAAAUGUGUCUAACCAAAGACAUAAAACAAAGGCGCUUUUUGGGAGGCAACCCAAAUGAUUUAUUUAUUUUGGUUUUUGUUAUAUCUUCUUUUCAUUUUGAUUCAGAUUUUUUAAAAAAAAUAAUGUGUUUGCUUAUUUUGGCCAGAAGAAAAUGUUUGAUAAGGCGUGCCCACGUCUUAACUAAUAAGUACUUCUGUGAUUUUUAACGUAAAAUGGUUUUAAGGCGUGCGCACGUGCUUAUUAAAAAAGUACUUCUGAAAUUUUUAGUGUCUCAAGUGAUACAUCACUAAAAAAAAAAUUAUUUUAUUUAUUUAUUUAUUUGAAAAUUAAAAAAAUAAAAAAAGUUUUUUUUCUUUUCUUUCUUUUAUAUUUUUAUUUAUUUGAAAAAAAUUUAAAAAAUGAAAAAAUAAAAAAAAAGUUUUUUCUUUUUUUCUUUUAUAUAUUUUAUUUAUUUAUUUAUUUGAAAAAAAAUUUAAAAAAUAAAAAAAUUUUACUGUUCACAAAAUCCCUAAUUCACAGAAUUAGUGUUCUUCUCCAGCCGCUCCAGCCUUCACCGAGCAGCCACGCAGCACCAGCUCCAUCCCCAGCGCGCAGCAUCAUCCCCAGCCCGCGCGCAAGCAACCAGCCCCAACCCGCGCAGCACAACCAUCUGCGAAUAACCUGAACCAACAGCCGUGUACCUGCAAGCUCCAGCCGAGCAGCAACCAUCCGCAGCCGGCCUACGCCCUGCAUUCUAGCCGCGUGAAUCAAAAUCCGUGAGUUCAAUUAUUGUAACAAUGCCGAAGAGGAAAGCAUCAACUUCCAAGUCAUCUAAAAAGACACUCGUCGCAAAGAAAUCCAAGAUUUCCGCUCCCACUACGGUUCCAUGGAACACAGUUUUAGAUUCACGCCAAGCCGUGAGAUAAAGAUCGAAACAUGGAAAAGGCAUGAGUGUUUUGCCACUUGCGGAAUCCAAUCUCAGAGGGUGCCUCACAUUCACGACUCAACAAGAGAAAGAAAUGUACAAAGAUAUUUCCAAGCGAAAAAUACUUCCAGCUAAGUAUAUUCAUUACCCGACUCUUGAAAAAUUGAAUGUCAAGAAUAGUUUUGAUUCUUUGAUAGAUAAGAUUGGUUUGCGUAAGUUUGUUGAUGUUGAUUGUUUGGGUUAUGUUGAGUUGAUUAGGGAGUUCUAUGCUACUUUUCAAUUUAAUAUACUGAAUGAUUUUACUUUGCAUACCUCAGAUGUUAUAAAGUUUAGGUUAAUGGGACGAAAUUUUUCACACUCUAUCACGGAUUUUAACCUAGUUUUAGGAUUCAUUGAUGAUGAUUAUUCUUCUAGUGAUGUAUAUUUAGGGACAACUUGUGACUUUAGCGAAAAUUUUGAGCCUUAUGGUCUUUGGCGUAAUUUAUCUGUUGAUCACAAUGCCUAUGACCCAAGUAAAUCAAAGAGUUCUUUCUUACGUGAUCCUGUUUUGAAAUGUAUGCAUCGGUUCUUAGCAUAUAAUUUUUUAGGAAAGAAAGAUCACUCAAGAGUUUUCUCUAAAACUGAGUUUUGUUUUAUCUGGUGCAUAUUAAAUGAUGUGAGGCCUAACUUAGGUUUUUGGUUAGCAGAUCAAUUUCAAAGUGUGCUUAAACGGUAUAGGACUUUAUUUCUUGGUUCAUACAUUACUCUGUUAGUUAUAAACUUAUGUGUGCUUGAUCAUGACAACAAUGAUUUAUAUCCUGCUUGCAAAAAGAAAUUUUUGGAUAUGUCUGUGUUUGAAAGAACAGGUGUGGUCGAAUUCAAGGAGGGGAAAUUUCAGUUUACUGAACCAGGACCCACCCAACUUCCAAAGAAGUUUUAUACUAGGAGUGGUGCUACCUCUGAUGACGAGUUUGACGACGAAACUGCGGCCCCACCAACUAUUCCUUUUACAUCCGCACAACCUUUGAGCAUUCAGUUAGAGAAAAUGGAGCACAAGCUGAACAAGAUGGAGCAGAAUUUGGCCUCAUACUUCGAGAGUGUGGGAUUUAUCCCACCAUUUCCACUAAGCCCAUAGACGUUAUGAGGAUCAAAGCUCACAAUUCAGGAAAGUUUUCGCCUUUAAUCUUUUAUCCUUACGCUUUAAUUUUUAUGUGAGCUUUGAUUAUCUUACAUUGGGGACAAUGUAAGUGUCUGUCAAUGACAAAUUUAACCCACUACCACCAUUCAUAAUUAACCAAAAUCAAAUAAAUUAAAAAAGAAAACACAAAACAAGGAUAACUACUAGUUGUUUUGAUCAUCCUUGCUUCUUUUUCUUAGCAUAGCUCUUGUAAUGAAAAUUAACAAAAAGGGCCAAAAGGGAAGCAUUAAACACAGUAUUGAAGCACCAACCCCAAAACCCAGGGAAACCAAAUCCCGUGAAAUGAUAAUUCAGCAUCAAAAUGAAAAAUGUUAUGGAUGGCUGUGAUGGGUCUGAGGAUGUGGGGUCCAAUGAGAGGUGAUGAUGAUGGUGAUGUUGAUGUUGAUGUGUGGUAGAGGAUGGAUGUGAGGGAGAGGUAAGUAAUGAUGGAGUGAAUGAGGAUGUGUGGGAAGAAAGCUAGGGUUUGGUCUUGAGUCCACGUGAAGUUGAAGACUUGUGGGUGGCUUACAAGCAAUAAUGGAGUGUUAAGCUGAUUGAAUUUGAAGCCAUGGCUGGUUUUGGGGGAAGAUUGAUUUGGGAGAGAUGAUGGUCAGAGGAAUGGGGGAGUUUAGAAAGUUUGGGAUAUUGUGACGGGUGUUUUAGGCAUAUUUUUUCGUCUUAGCUUAAAUUUUUGUUAAAAAAAUGAUAAAUUCUUUUCUCAUAUCAAUUUAAAACUCCGAGUAUGUUUCCAAUUCUUCUUCUAUAGUGUCUAGACCUUUGUUUCAACGGCAUCUUUGGACGCGGGUUUCUUCUUUUUUGGUUAUUUCUUCUCAAACUUGUGCAGAUUACAUGCACUCAACGUGGAACCCUUUUGAAUGGAAGUUACUGUUUUGCUGGAAUCGGGACCAAUUUUUUGACAAAAAUUUCGCUAUAAAAUAUACAAUUAAAGUCGAGUAAGAUUAAGUAAAGUAACAUCUUGUAUGGUAAAGUACAUCGAGUAAGGAUUUCUAUAAUCGAGCUAGAAAGUAUAAUUAAAAUUAGAUAAGAGUGCCGCGGAGCAUUGUUUUAAAGUUACAGUAUCAAAGUAUUUAAUAAAUAUUUAUUAUUGUGACUUAAAAAUUAAGUUGGGAGUACAAAAAAAUCAAUAAUACAUUUAUUAAUUUUGUCAAAAUUAUUAUUUAAAAAUCAUAUAUACAAUACAAGAUCAACAAUUAUAUUAUAGCUUCAGUUCCUUUUUCACAAUAACUAUAACUACAACACGGUAGUACUAAAUAGGAAGUCGAGUAUGAUCAAGUAAUUACAUGUUAUGGUUUUUUGGUAUUACAUGAUUCUUCAAACUGAAAUUUGCGAUCAAAAUUGUAUCAAAGAAAUCACAGAGACACUCUGUUUGACAAAUCUGCAGUAGAAUUUGCACAAUUUAACUGGAUUGCAGAGAGUGAAUAAGAUUCCAAAGCAACAGGCAAUUAUUGUUAUUAAGAAAACAAUUCAUCGCUAGAACAAAAUUAACUUUUCUAACAUACUAGAAUUUAACUGGAGAAAAAUUGGAAUAUACGACGUUGUAUCACAUAUAGUAUUUAGACAUCAAGAAAAGAAUCCCUCUAUUAGUGAACUAUACUUGCCAGGAAACACGGUGAAAUACCACUACCUCCCUACUAGAUUAAUGCAGCAAAAUUGGGCAAUUGACUUGAUUAACUCCAAGAAAUUUACGCAGUCACAUUCUUCCGGACUAUCCUCUUUCUUCGCACUUUAGGAGCUGUUGUUUCCCCUUACAGAGUCGACAUUCCCUUGUUUGAUGCCAAGGAGCCCAAGCCCAGAGCCAAUGGCAUUCUUUGGUAUCAACCACUUUGGGAACUUUUGAGUUGAGCCAUUGACAUCCUGAGACGGCCUGUUGUGAGCCUUCUUCAAAAGGUCAUCUGACUGAAGUAGCGGAUCCGCUUCCACUCCUAGCCAAGCAAGCCUUGAUCUUUCUCCUAAUUGGACAUUAAGAACCCUGCAUGGAAUCCAUUUGAGAAGUUGAACAAUAGACAAAGUCCAACACAUAUAGGCAGUAAAGAAGAAUUUGGACAGCAAUUACUGACUGUUUAUGCACAGGGCUGAACAAAUGGGAAUAUUAAGGCACUUAAAAGUUGGAACCAUAUUCACCACUUGUAUUUCCUCAGAGAACUAUCUCAGAGUUCUGUUAAUUUAAAACCAUUCUAACGUAUUUAACUACAAAACUAGAGAAAUCGUACUUCUGUAGCGGAGUCUCACUAUUGUUAAGGAUCUAGACUUGGAAAGUAUGCAAGUUGAUUAGGUAAAGAAAAAUUGAAAUAAUACUUGGUGAUAGAUCAACACACUUCAAUAGAAACCACACUAACAUCAUAUCAGACAAAUAAACAGAUUCCCCGAGUCAAAGUUUAACAAACAAAACAUUAAAACAAGGAUAAUUUGGUACGACCAGAAUAGUCUAUCAAUGUAUAUAGAGAGGGAGAGACCUCAAAGCAGCGCUUAAGAACAGUGCUACUCCAAUAACAUCAAUAUGGUUGAUGACCGCUCUAUCAAAUCCAUUGGAAAUCGUAUACUUAUAAUUUUUUUUUUCAAACUUUGUCUAAAAUAAAUGAAUGAGAUAAGAUAAAUUCGAAUAAAUUAAUCUGCAUAAUGACACAAGAAACAAAUGUAAAUUGACCACAAGUAGAAAUAUACUUUUGUUAUCUUCCAAUUUCUUUCCCUUGAGCUCUGUUUCUGCGAGUGCUCAAAAGCAAGACACGGGCCUUGUUAAGAGUAUAGCUGAAGCUGGUGACGUGUAUAAGCUGCUGAUGAAGCUGCUGAGCUGGCUGGCUAGUGAUGUGUAUAAAUUGAAGGUGCUGAGCUGGAUUGGGUUGUUGUUUACACCAACUAAAGCUGUAACAGAUUAUCCAGCUGGCUUGUUAUGAUUGGAAAUUAGAUUAGUUUGUUAAUACAGCAAACGAUUAGCUCUGUUUUAGUAGUUAGCCUUGAAUGUAACUAUAAAUACUGGCUAACACGUUUUCAGUGUUAAGCUUGAGUUUUAAUCAAUAAAAAUCAAUUCAGUUAAAGUUUCUUUGUUAAUUUUCUUUCACUUUCUCACUUGCCAAACAACCUAUUAAUUCUAAAAGGCCUCAAGAUAUAAUUAUCAUCAUCAAUCUUUUGCAGCCACAUGCAGUACUUGGAAAAUGUUUAUGGCCCUAAAUAACUGGAAAAUCAGAAAACAUUAAGAACAAGAGACUAAUCAUUUUAAUCGCAACAAAACAUGCACACUAUGAAAAUAUAAAAUUGAAUUACUUCGAAUGGAUGUGCCUCUUAACAGGAAUUGCACAAGCUAAUGAGCAAGUGAGCCUUGAACAGUUAUCACUCAACUCAAACUAAAAUGAAAUUACUGUGGACAUGUGAAUUAAAAAUAGAUGUAAAAGUAGUUUUCUCAAAGCAAAGUCAAGAUAAGAGAUUAACUCUGCUCCGUAAUUACAUUAAAAAUAACAAACAAUGAAAAACAGAGCUAGAGAAGAACUUACCUGUGCGUUGAGACCAUGUGGGGAAUGUGAGAUAUCUUCUUAGAUUUGGUUUGAGAAACCCUGCCAAUUAAAAUUUCGGUCCCCAUGUAGCAGAAUUUCUUAUUUUUCCUUUGUACACAAAUGCAGACACUUAAGCAAAUUAAGAUUUCUUAUCUAAAGCAAAUUAGGAUUUCUUUUGACCCUGCAAAUUACAAUUUCAGUCCCCAUGUAAUAGGAAAAUUUUGUACACAUAUUUAUAGCAAAUUAAUAUUUCAUACCUCACAAUAUUUAUCAGAACCAUCAAUCUUUAGAAACCACAUGCAGACUUGGUAAACUGUUUAUGGCCCAAAAUAACAGGAAAAUUAGAACAGAUUUUUAAGAAUGAGCGACUAAAUAUUUCAAUGGCAACUAAAAUUACACAUCUUGGAAAUCUGAAACUCAAGUACUCAGAACACUGUUAGUGCAUUGCAUAAGUCAAUUGCAUAAUCUUGGGUAAAAAUUACGCAGCAAUUAAACAAGCUGGGAACUUUAGUGCAAAUGCUUUUUCAUAAUCUUCAAUUGCAUAAGUCAGUUAGAAUCAAUCUUUCUUAAUCUUUCAAUUCACAUAUGAGAGCCUGAUAACACAAGGAAACACUGUAAGUGAAUUGUCAACUGUGACAAAUUUUGGGUAAAAAUUAUCAACUGUAGUUAUCUGCAUAACAUUUAGUGUCAACCCCAAAUUCCUUACUGAUCCGUGGAAGCAUUUCAGCCCACAGACGGUUAGCUUUGUCAAUAUACGGCAACUCAGGAUUCUAUAUUUAAACUAUGAUGUUUGAUGACUUGCUGAUACAAAAGACAUUGCCCCAAGCACUUUUUUACAUUAGCUAAAAUCAAGCCAAUCACUUCCAUUUGUUGCAGUUUUAAUGCAGAAAGAAAAAGGUGGGGAAAAAAUCUGCAAGAUGCCACUUGUAAUACCGCAUGUUCGCAGAAGCAGAGUUAAAUAAUUACAAAAUUACAUUCUUUAUGAAAGCUUGCGAUUAUUGGGAGAGCUCUACUCAAAUUUAAUGAGAUAUCUCUCAGAAGGGAGAGCUCUAAUAAUAUAUAAAGCCAAAAAUCUGACACUCAUCAAAUUGGCUUGUGAACAAUUAAUCUUCCUUGCCAUCAUAAAUGCCAGGUGUGGUGAACAAUCUUCAUUCUGACAUUUGCCUUAAUAAGCUGCUUAGUAUCCUUAACCUGAUAACUUACACAAACAAAAACAACUUCACUAAAGUUUAUUCUUUAAAGGCAAAACAGUAAACCAGAUGAUGUAUGCUGAUACAAAAAAUUGACCUGAGUUAUCCUGAUGUCAAGAAUCACAGAACCUCACGUGGGCAAAAUCAUCGCAAUACAAGAUGCUGAAUUCAAGCAACAUCUUAUCACCUGUAAUUUAAUUAAGACAAUAACUUUCCUCAACUAUUAGCCUUCUCAAUUUCAAUGUAUUAUUGGCAACUAAAUUCAUAGGGGACGCAGCUAAUUAAAUGCCCUUUUAACAAUAUCUUCCCCACCUAACAAUUAUUUGGAAAAUCUAAAUGACAAUCAUGCAUUGAUGGCAUAAAAUAUUGGCCACAAAGCUGCCUACAAAAAGGCUUUAAAUUCUUAAUGAGACAACGUAUUCGAACAAAUAUGGUGAAUGAAGAGACAAAGCAUAACACCUCAAGAAGUAAAGCUCUGUUUCUGUAUAUGCUCAAACCAAUGGAAACCCAUGGAAAUGGAUUUCUACGAAUUAGACAUGUCAGCCAAAACAGGUACUCUGUACAGGCAAAGUAAAAGAGAGUUACAAAAAAUUUUAAGAUAAUUAAACUUUUAAUAACCAUAUAAUUAAUAGAAAACUUUGUACACAAUGAUUUAUAUGAGAUUAAGAUUGUAUACCUAAGUUUUAAUUGCAAACUAAAUAUACACAACAUGAUAUUAGCAUUAGAAGACUGCACCAAAACGCACCGAAUUGAAUGUACCUCUUAACGGCCAUUGUACAUGCAUUGAAAGUUUACCGCAAAAGCUGUUUCAAACGUGAUGCAUCUUAGAGAUGCAAGAUGAGAAAUUGUUAUUACAACUAGCAUUGAAACAUGUGUGAAAACUGUUAAUGGACCUAAAUAACUUGAAAAUCAGAAAAGAUUAGGAAUGAGUGACUAAGCCUGCUAAUCGCAACUAAACGUGCAAACCUUGAAAAUCCAAAAUUGUACUCGAUGAAUGUGCAAUUGCUCAAGCAGGUAAAUUUCCUGCAAAGGCUCUUACAAACCCUCAAAGAUGAUACUCUACAUACCAUGGUAACCUGAGUAACAAAAAGAAACACAGUGAAUAUUAAAGGGCAUUCUGACAAUGCAAAUUUGUGUAAAUUAACAACUGCGGUUACCUGCAUAAUAGUGUCAAUACCGAAUUCCUUCCUCCAUGGAAGCAUGUGAUCAGCCCACAUGUGCUUUGCUCUGUAGCUUUUGAAUACCUGAAAUUGUUAUCACAACCAACGGUGAAAAAUGGGUGAAAAAAGGGUAAUAGUAGCAUAAUUGAAUUUGCUUAUAGAGGAUAAACCGAUCAAAGAAAAAAACAAGACAGAAAUGAUGAUCUUAGUACCUUAAUAUCAUGCAAUAAUAAUCAUCAUGCCUUCUAGGCAGCUAUCCAUCCUCAAUUGAAACAGAGCAGACCUGGCCAUCACUUUCUUCUUCAAAGUCCAGCAACUGAACGUUGCACACAACACCACAGUGGAAGUUCCAUCACCAGCCUAAUCCUUGAUUACCCCAAUGUUCUCCAUAGGGUCUUCAAAGUCAACCUAAAAAUAAAAUGAAAAUGCAAUGCAUUAUUAUUAGGGAUCUAGUGCUUGAGCUUGCUUUGACAUCAUGGUAUUAGCAAAUUCUGAUAUAGCCAAAAUGGUGAAUAAGAUGACGUACUUGAUAAGAAAAACCUGAUUUAACAAAUAAUUAAGGAGCCGGUAACAAUCACAGAAUCUCAUCAUGUGGGGAACGCCUUGGCAACAGAAGAUGGUGCUUUCAUUCAAGCAAUAGCAACUUUCCAAUUUCAUAAGGUAGUUUAAUGGCCCUUUUAAGAACAUCUGCACCAGCCUAAUAAUUAUUCAUGGAAAUUAAUAAUCAGAAUCAUGUUAGAUUGAGAGAUGAAACAUAAUAAGCGAUUUGGCCACCAUAUAUGCAUUUAUCACCUUCAAUUUGCUCAUCUUUGUCUAGAGUAUUGCUUCUGCAUUAACUUAAUUAGCUUGCAAGCCACCUGAACAUGGUUUUAAAUAAAGUGUAAGAGCUCGAAUUCGAACGAAUUAAUCAAAUAUGCUGACAGGAGAAACAAAAGUAAAUAACCACAAGAAGUAGAAAUAUACUUUUGUUAUAUUCAGAGCAUCUUCUUGCGUCAAGUUCUUUUCCUUUAGCUCUGUUUCUGUUUGUGCUCAAACGCAAUGGCUCAAGGGCCAAGAUAAUUUUAUGACCAUCAAUCUUUUUGCAGCCACAGCAGACUUGAAAAAAUGAUUGUGGCCCUAAGGAACUUGAAAAUUAGAAAAGAUUCAGAAUGAGUGACUAAAUAUUAUAAUUGAAACUAACUAAACAUUAUAAUCGAAACUAAUUAAACGCCUAGAAAAUCUGAAACUGAGCAAUUGCUUCUGGUGGAAACUUUACUGCAAGGACUUUCUCAAACCCUUGAAGAUCACACUCUACCUGAUAACAAAGAAACAGUCAAUAUACGAAGAUGAUUUUACUAACAAGUGAGUGCUUACACAUAUUGGAAGGAUAAUGAUGAUUCAUAACCCAAAUCCCCAAUACUCCCUAUUAUCUCACUCAAGUUCGAGCUCCCAGAAUUCACUACUGUGAAGCUCUCACAACAAAAUUCCCUUCAAAGAUUCUCUACUCAAAUUUGAUGAUGAUGUCCCUCCAAAGGAGGCAAAAAAUCUAACACUGAUCAAAUUGGUUUGUGAACAAUUAAUCUUCCUGGCCAUCAUGCAUACCAGGUGUGGUGAGCAAUCUUCAUUAUGACAUUUGCCUUAAUAAGCAGCUUAGUUUCCUUAACCUGAUAACUUACACAAACAAAAACAACUUGAUUAAAGUUUAAUAUUUAGAGGCAGAACAGUAAAGAAGAUGAUAUAUAUUGAUACUAAAAUUUGACCUGUGUUAUCCUGACGUCAAGAAUCACAGCAUCUCAUGUGGGCAGAAUCUUCGCAGUACAAUAUGCUUGCAAAAUUGAAGCAGCAUCUUAUCACCUGUAAUUUAAUUAAGACAAUAACUUUCCCCAACCAUUUCAAUGCAUUAUUGCCAACUAAAUUCAGAGGGUGCUAAUUAAAUAGCCUUUGAACAAUAUAUUCUUAUUCUUCUCCAAUCUAACAAUUAUUUCGAAAAUCUAAAUGACAAUCACGCAUCGAUGGCAUCAAAAUUUGGCUACAAAGCAGCCUGGAAAAGGCUUUACUCUCUGAAUGAGAGCAUGAAUUCGAAACAAAUAUGAUGAAUGAAGAAAAUAAGGCAUAAUACCACCAAAAGUAAAACUUUCUCCCAGGGCUCUAUGUUUCUGUUUGUGCUAAAACCAAUAGAAACCGAUGGAAAUGAAUUUCUAGGAAUUAGACAUAUCAGCGAAAACAGGUAUUCUGUACAAGCAAAGUAAAAUAGGGUUACCAAAAUUUUUAAGAUUGAUAUGAUACUUGAAAAAUAGGUUUGCACAGAAUUAAUUAUUCUGUCAUUGAGAUUGUUCUUUUAUAGAGAUUUACAGCACACAUAAAACUAUUAAAUCAGUAAACUAAAUCACUGAUUUAAGGAAAGAAUAAUUUCUAGGUAGAUUUUCCUAAAAUACAUAGAUUUGCACCUAAAUAGCUAUGUUACAGCUAAUGACUAAUUUACAGCACAUAUUUUUUCUAAUUUUCUAACACUCCCCCUCGAGCUGGUUUGAAGAUAUCCUCCAUAGCCAGCUUGCCAACUAGAAAAUUGAACUGUUUUGUGUGUAGUCCUUUGGUAAAGACAUCAGCCACUUGUUCUCCAGUAGGAAUGUGCUCCAUAUGAACCAAUCCAUUAUCUAUCUUCUCCUUGAUGAAAUGCUUGUCAAUCUCCACAUGUUUUGUGCGGUCAUGAAGGACUGGAUUGUGUGCUAUUGAGAUUGCUGCCUUGUUGUCACAGUACAACUACAUAGGAGAUGAUUUUGUCGCUUUUAACUCUUCCAACAGCCUCCUAAUCCACAUGAUCUCACAAAUGCCAUGGGUUACAGCUCUAAAUUCAGCCUCAGCACUGCUCCUAGCUACCACAUUCUGUUUCUUGCUUCUCCAAGUAACCAAAUUACCACCUACAAAUGAACAGUAUCCAGAAGUGGAUCUUCGGUCUACUUUGCAGGUAAAUUUACUGCAAAGGCUCUUACAAGCCCUCAAAGAUGAUAUUCUACAUACCAUGGUAACCUGACUAACAAAAAGAAACACAGUGAAUAUUAAAGGGCAUUCUGACAAUGCAAAUUUGUGCAAAUUAACAACUGCGGUUACCUGCAUAAUAGUGUCAAUACCGA